UACAUAGGGUGCGAGCGUUAAUCGGAAUUACUGGGCGUAAAGCGUGCGCAGGCGGCUUUGCAAGACAGAUGUGAAAUCCCCGGGCUCAACCUGGGAACUGCAUUUGUGACUGCAAGGCUAGAGUACGGCAGAGGGGGAUGGAAUUCCGCGUGUAGCAGUGAAAUGCGUAGAUAUGCGGAGGAACACCAAUGGCGAAGGCAAUCCCCUGGGCCUGUACUGACGCUCAUGCACGAAAGCGUGGGGAGCAAACAGG
Molecule: ribosomal RNA, 253 nt
Filed under: uncultured bacterium
Lineage: Bacteria
Description: partial 16S ribosomal RNA
Rfam family: Bacterial small subunit ribosomal RNA
Source: RNAcentral